UCUCCUGGGAAACGGGUGGUAAUGCCGGAUGCUCCAGUUGAUCGCAUGGUCUUCUGGGAAAGCUUUCGCGGUAUGGGAUGGGGUCGCGUCCUAUCAGCUUGACGGCGGGGUAACGGCCCACCGUGGCUUCGACGGGUAGCCGGCCUGAGAGGGCGACCGGCCACAUUGGGACUGAGAUACGGCCCAGACUCCUACGGGAGGCAGCAGUGGGGAAUAUUGCACAAUGGGCGCAAGCCUGAUGCAGCGACGCCGCGUGAGGGAUGGAGGCCUUCGGGUUGUAAACCUCUUUUAUCGGGGAGCAAGCGUGAGUGAGUUUACCCGUUGAAUAAGCACCGGCUAACUACGUGCCAGCAGCCGCGGUAAUACGUAGGGUGCAAGCGUUAUCCGGAAUUAUUGGGCGUAAAGGGCUCGUAGGCGGUUCGUCGCGUCCGGUGUGAAAGUCCAUCGCUUAACGGUGGAUCCGCGCCGGGUACGGGCGGGCUUGAGUGCGGUAGGGGAGACUGGAAUUCCCGGUGUAACGGUGGAAUGUGUAGAUAU
RNAcentral lists this ribosomal RNA (537 nucleotides) under Bifidobacterium longum subsp. infantis. RNAcentral's name for it is "bacterial SSU rRNA". It matches the Rfam family "Bacterial small subunit ribosomal RNA", at positions 146 to 697 of the family's 1533-position model. The record is from RNAcentral. Lineage: Bacteria; Bacillati; Actinomycetota; Actinomycetes; Bifidobacteriales; Bifidobacteriaceae.